Molecule: ribosomal RNA, 750 nt
Filed under: uncultured Gammaproteobacteria bacterium
Lineage: Bacteria; Pseudomonadati; Pseudomonadota; Gammaproteobacteria
Description: bacterial SSU rRNA
Rfam family: Bacterial small subunit ribosomal RNA
Source: RNAcentral
UGCAAGUCGAACGGUAACAGCGGGAGCUUGCUCCCGGCUGACGAGUGGCGGACGGGUGAGUAACGCGUAGGAAUCUGCCCAGUAGUGGGGGACAACCCGGGGAAACUCGGGCUAAUACCGCAUACGCCCUACGGGGGAAAGAUGGCCUCUCCUUGGAAGCUGUCACUAUUGGAUGAGCCUGCGUCGGAUUAGCUAGUUGGUAGGGUAAAAGCCUACCAAGGCGACGAUCCGUAGCUGGUCUGAGAGGACGACCAGCCACACUGGGACUGAGACACGGCCCAGACUCCUACGGGAGGCAGCAGUGGGGAAUAUUGCACAAUGGGGGCAACCCUGAUGCAGCAAUGCCGCGUGUGUGAAGAAGGCCUGCGGGUUGUAAAGCACUUUCAAUGGGGAAGAAAAGGUGAGGGUGAAUAGCCCUUGCUCUUGACGUUACCUUUAGAAGAAGCACCGGCUAACUCCGUGCCAGCAGCCGCGGUAAUACGGAGGGUGCGAGCGUUAAUCGGAAUUACUGGGCGUAAAGCGCGCGUAGGCGGUUUGUUAAGUCAGAUGUGAAAGCCCUGGGCUCAACCUGGGAACUGCAUUUGAUACUGUCGGACUGGAGUAUGGUAGAGGGAAGUGGAAUUCCGGGUGUAGCGGUGAAAUGCGUAGAUAUCCGGAGGAACACCAGUGGCGAAGGCGACUUCCUGGACCAAUACUGACGCUGAGGUGCGAAAGCGUGGGUAGCAAACAGGAUUAGAUACCCUGGUAGUC